UACGUAGGGGGCAAGCGUUAUCCGGAUUUACUGGGUGUAAAGGGAGCGUAGACGGCGCUGCAAGUCCGGAGUGAAAGCCCAUGGCUUAACCAUGGUACUGCUUUGGAAACUGUAUAGCUGGAGUGCAGGAGAGGUAAGUGGAAUUCCUAGUGUAGCGGUGAAAUGCGUAGAUAUUAGGAGGAACACCAGUGGCGAAGGCGGUUUACUGGACUGUAACUGACGUUGAGGCUCGAAAGCGUGGGGAGCAAACAGG
RNAcentral lists this ribosomal RNA (253 nucleotides) under uncultured Lachnospiraceae bacterium. Its description in RNAcentral is "partial 16S ribosomal RNA". It matches the Rfam family "Bacterial small subunit ribosomal RNA", at positions 524 to 776 of the family's 1533-position model. Lineage: Bacteria; Bacillati; Bacillota; Clostridia; Lachnospirales; Lachnospiraceae. The record is from RNAcentral.